This 506-nucleotide ribosomal RNA is filed under the name uncultured bacterium. Its description in RNAcentral is "partial 16S ribosomal RNA". It matches the Rfam family "Bacterial small subunit ribosomal RNA", at positions 29 to 523 of the family's 1533-position model. The record is from RNAcentral.
AGUGAACGCUGGCGGUAGGCCUAACACAUGCAAGUCGAACGGCAGCACAGGAGAGCUUGCUCUCUGGGUGGCGAGUGGCGGACGGGUGAGGAAUACAUCGGAAUCUACUCUGUCGUGGGGGAUAACGUAGGGAAACUUACGCUAAUACCGCAUACGACCUACGGGUGAAAGCAGGGGAUCUUCGGACCUUGCGCGAUUGAAUGAGCCGAUGUCGGAUUAGCUAGUUGGCGGGGUAAAGGCCCACCAAGGCGAGGAUCCGUAGCUGGUCUGAGAGGAUGAUCAGCCACACUGGAACUGAGACACGGUCCAGACUCCUACGGGAGGCAGCAGUGGGGAAUAUUGGACAAUGGGCGCAAGCCUGAUCCAGCCAUACCGCGUGGGUGAAGAAGGCCUUCGGGUUGUAAAGCCCUUUUGUUGGGAAAGAAAUCCAGCUGGCUAAUACCCGGUUGGGAUGACGGUGCCCAAAGAAUAAGCACCGGCUAACUUCGUGCCAGCCGCCGCCGUAA